This 484-nucleotide ribosomal RNA is filed under the name uncultured bacterium. Its description in RNAcentral is "partial 16S ribosomal RNA". It matches the Rfam family "Bacterial small subunit ribosomal RNA", at positions 30 to 507 of the family's 1533-position model. The record is from RNAcentral.
AUUGAACGCUGGCGGCAGGCCUAACACAUGCAAGUCGAGCGGAUGAAGGGAGCUUGCUCCUGGAUUCAGCGGCGGACGGGUGAGUAAUGCCUAGGAAUCUGCCUGGUAGUGGGGGAUAACGUCCGGAAACGGGCGCUAAUACCGCAUACGUCCUGAGGGAGAAAGUGGGGGAUCUUCGGACCUCACGCUAUCAGAUGAGCCUAGGUCGGAUUAGCUAGUUGGUGGGGUAAAGGCCUACCAAGGCGACGAUCCGUAACUGGUCUGAGAGGAUGAUCAGUCACACUGGAACUGAGACACGGUCCAGACUCCUACGGGAGGCAGCAGUGGGGAAUAUUGGACAAUGGGCGAAAGCCUGAUCCAGCCAUGCCGCGUGUGUGAAGAAGGUCUUCGGAUUGUAAAGCACUUUAAGUUGGGAGGAAAGGCAGUAAGUUAAUGCCUUGCUGUUUUGACGUUACCAACAGAAUAAGCACCGGCUAACUUCGUG